UACAGAGGGUGCAAGCGUUGUUCGGAAUUAUUGGGCGUAAAGGGCGUGUAGGCGGUGAAGUGUGUCCGUUGUGAAAACCCUGGGCUUAACCCAGGAAGUGCAGCGGAAACUGCUUUGCUAGAGUACGAUAGGGGAUAGCGGAAUUCCAAGUGUAGAGGUGAAAUUCGUAGAUAUUUGGAGGAACACCAGCGGCGAAGGCGGCUAUCUGGAUCGUAACUGACGCUGAGACGCGAAAGCGUGGGGAGCAAACAGG
Molecule: ribosomal RNA, 253 nt
Filed under: uncultured bacterium
Lineage: Bacteria
Description: partial 16S ribosomal RNA
Rfam family: Bacterial small subunit ribosomal RNA
Source: RNAcentral